RNAcentral lists this ribosomal RNA (515 nucleotides) under uncultured bacterium. RNAcentral describes it as "bacterial SSU rRNA". It matches the Rfam family "Bacterial small subunit ribosomal RNA", at positions 23 to 518 of the family's 1533-position model. The record is from RNAcentral.
GUCAGAACGAACGCUGGCGGCGUGCUUAACACAUGCAAGUCGAACGCGAAAGGGACUUCGGUCCUGAGUAAAGUGGCGCACGGGUGAGUAACGCGUAGAUAACCUGUCUUCAUGUCUGGAAUAAUACGCCGAAAGGGGUACUAAUACCGGAUAUUCUUGCUUUUCAUAAGUUAUGCAAGCAAAGGUGGCCUCUGCAUAUGCUACUGCAUGAAGAGGGGUCUGCGUACCAUUAGCUAGUAGGUGGGGUAAUGGCCUACCUAGGCGACGAUGGUUAGCGGGUCUGAGAGGAUGAUCCGCCACACUGGCACUGGAACACGGGCCAGACUCCUACGGGAGGCAGCAGUGAGGAAUAUUGCGCAAUGGGGGAAACCCUGACGCAGCGACGCCGCGUGAGUGAGGAAGGCCUUCGGGUCGUAAAGCUCUGUCAAGAGGAAAGAAGUGUACAAUGGCUAAUACCUGUUGUAUUUGACGGUACCUCUAAAGGAAGCACCGGCUAACUCCGUGCCAGCCGCCGC